Cricetulus griseus (Chinese hamster) is the source of this 9226-nucleotide non-coding RNA. Lineage: Eukaryota; Metazoa; Chordata; Mammalia; Rodentia; Cricetidae. The record is from RefSeq and is a predicted model, not a curated record.
UUACUCUAUGUCUAAAAUCCACAUAUGAGUGAGUACAUACCAUGUUUGUCUUUUUGUGAUUGAGUUACCUCGCUCAGAGUGGUUUCUUCAAGUUCCAUCCUUAAGAUUCCAUUGUUUUUUUCUGCUGCAACUUAUGGGUUUUAAGAAGGUCUAAGGAACUGUGUGAGGUGAGCUGAAGGACAAACUGGCUUUAGUACACACUUUAAAAUGAUGGAUGUUUAGUUUCUUUUCCUGUUGCUGUAAUGAAAAGCUCUGACAAAAGCAACUUAAGGGUGUAAAGUUUUUUAUUUUAGCUCACUGCCCAAGGGUCCAUCAUGGCAGGGGAGCAGGACCUUGAAACAGCUAGCAUGCAGUGAAUACACUGCUGCCUAGCUCCUUUUUCCAUUUAUACCGUUCAGGUCCCAGCCUGUGAAUGGAUGCUCUCACCCCAGUGAAGGCAGUCCAGAUCUUCUUCAGGCAUGCCCAAGAGGUUCAUCUCCCAGGGGAGCCUAGAUUCUGUUAAGUUGGCCAUUAACAUUUAACUGCCACACUAUAUAAAAACAAAAGCAGUAGAUGCCCAACAGACCUAUGCUUAAAUUAUAAAAGAUUAAAACUGUGAAUGAAUGUGAAAAGUUAAUGAAAAUAUAUUCUGUCAACUCUUGCCCCCCACCCAAAUUUAAGUCCUUUAUUUUAAAAUAAGUGAAAUAUUUAAUACUUAACUAUUUUAGGAAACCUGGUAUUUCAUCUCUUCAGAUGGGAGAUCUUUUACUUAGCCAUGCAGCAGUUGAAUGAAUGUGUGAGUGAAGACAUUCAUGAGCCAUGAAAAGCAGUUUAGGAUCUAAUUCUAUGCCCUCUACUGUUUUUUUCCAAGUCAGUGACACAUAAGUCGGUACAAAAAAAGGAUAUUGAGCUCAACAUAUCCAGUCUUGGUCAUCAUUUCCUAGUAAUUAUGGGUGCUUGAGCCUUAAGUAAAUUUUGUGAUUAAUUUUCAUUUCAUCUAUCUAUUGAGAAUUGCCUUGAUCUUCAACAACAUAAAUGGUGCUAAAAAUAUGGCAGUCCCUACACGAACACAGCAGCCACUGUAAUGCUGUGACUUCAGAGUAGCCAAGAUGAACAUAUGUAAUGAGCUCCCUUUCAUUUCCAUUCUGUCCAUGAAAGGGUUCUGGCUUUGAUACCUGCAUUUUAGCAGCUUGAGGAGGUUGGCAGCCCAGCCUUAGAUUCUGCGUGUGAGAAAUUCCCUGGGGGAACUUCAUGACAUGCAGGUAUGAACCAUGCACAUAUGAACCUUGCUGUGCUCUUGUCGCCUUGAUGAGCAAAGUCUGCUCUUUGCACAUUGACAUGGCAAUGUUGGUCAGAGGUUCACUGCCCUGAAAACCAUGCCCCCUAAGCGCCGGGCAGUUUGGGUUCUUGCUUCCUCCUUGUGAACUCAUCUCAGAUGCCUGGCUCAUGGGGUGAAAAUUUCCUGUCAUUUGUCAUGUCUCUUGUCUUCACUGUUUGAGGCUGAGCCACCUCUGGGUCUUUGCUUUUGAUCCCUUUAAUGCAAUCAGAUGCCAAGGAUUGUGAAAACAGCUAAAAAUAAACUUAGAACACUCAGAAGCCUGCUCUGUUGCUGUGGUUAAAUGUCUGCUUUUAAGGACUGGCAGACUGGGACCUGCGCUUUGACUUCCUGUGCUGAAUUCAACUCUGACAUCUCACUGCCUUUGUGGACAGAGGGAUUAAGAUUUGUCAUUUGUAGCUGGGCGAUGGUGGCGCAUGCCUUUAUUCCCAGCACUCGGGAGGCAGAGGCAGGCAGAUCUCUGUGAGUUCGAGGCCAGCCUGAUCUACAGAGUGAGUGCCAGGAUAGGCUCCAAAGCUACACAGAGAAACCCUGUCUCAAAAAACAAAAUACAAAACAAAACAAAACAAAACAAACAAACAAAAAAGAUUUGGCAUGUGUUACUGGGCAGUGCUGAAGUUAGAAGACAGGAAGUGAUCAACACAGUGCCUGAAGGUAUGCAGUUUUAGCCAUGGAUGUGGACUGAACAACAGUUCCACUGCCUACUCUAAGCGAGAUGAGUUUGACUUAGGUGAGUUACUGACCCUCCCUGAAUCUUUAUCUUGACCAUGCACAGUCUGUCUCAGGUGGUGGUGUGGACUCUGGGCUGUCUGCAGGACACAGAUGUGGAGAAAGAUGCCCUCGGCCUACAGAACAGGCCUCCAACAGUAGUCCUUGUUACAUGUUUGCUGAGGACUGGCUGCUGUGCCCUGAACAUCUUUCAUCUGUACUGAUCACUCUAGUUGCAUCUGGAAGUGGGAUAGCAAGAACAUGUAUGGGACUGUCACAGAAAAGGGGUAAUGGAAAUGGGGAAUGAAGGUCUCGCUUAGUGGAGGGGCUAACAGAGUCCUCAGAAGGCAUCUCUUAAGAGAGCAGUGCUCUGUUACUAACAGAAAACAAGAACAAAAAGAUGACAAGAAGAGAGUACUACAACUCACUGUUGACUGCCCUGGCCCUCUAAAGUUGGAACCUGGGGAAGGAGGCAAGAGAUAGAGCCAAGAUCUUAAAUUUCGACUAGUACUGCCCUAAGCCGGUCUCACUCCCCUGGGCCUGGCCAAGGCUUAGCUCACUUUCUCUCCUGUUGGGGUAUGUUCAGGGACCCUUCUGUCCUUCCCCUCUUACCCAGUUCAGGGCCUUUCAUUGGCAGCUGCCUUGAUGUGCUAAUGCUUCCUCCUUGUAAGCUCCUCCCAGGCCAAGUGACACCCAACAGUCUGAUAAUGGAGUAGCAUGGAGACAACCCUUUCUCUCCAGCUAGCCUUGUUACAUAUACGACCAGCUCUGAGCCAGAUGAAGACUUGCUGCUUAGCGCCAUCAUGCUUAACAUCUCCAGGCUGGAUGGUGCACUGACCUGAAGGAACAAUCCUCAUGAAUUCUCUUUUGUUCUUUGUGCCCUUAUCAACAUGAAGUAUCAGUUCAAGCAUUGUAGAUACACAGUGCCUAAAGUAGAAGGGCCAGUCCAGAAAAGCAACAUACUCACCAACCUAGUAGAUUCCAGAACUUUUUCUGUAGUACAUGAGGUAAAGCUGUGUGUGUGUUUAUGUGUGUGUGCGCGUGCGUGCGCGUGCCAGUAAUGGGUAUGCCUAAUGGAGGACACAAAAUACCAGGUAGUAACACCCUGGGCCUGGAGAAAAGACUGUUGUAGAGGUGUAUCUAGCAUCUAGCCCACACUUAGCCUGAUGACCCACAUGUUGAAAGGAGAGAACUGACUCCUGCAAGUUGUUCUUUGGUGACACCCCACCAAAGAAAAAGUUGAAAAUUAAUACUUUUUAAAAUAAAAAAAGAAUCCUGAGGAGUAACAGGAGUGUGAUGAAAUACACAAGUGCCUGCCUUCCUCCAACCAUUGCUGCCAUUGAUACUGUCAGAAAGGAGAAGUCAGAAGGAUGUGGUAGGCUCCCCAUGAGUCCUAUGUAUGCUAAGCUACACAGGAAGGGAUGAAGGGAGAGUGAUUAGGAGGUAGAGGGACCUUGGUUAUGUGUGUGUAGGUGAUGCAUGAGACUCAUCUAGACAGGAAUGUCAUGAAGGAGGAGAGCAGUGCAGACUUGCCCUAUGGUGCCCUUCUUCCAGGAGGAAAGGUACUGCUACUUAGACCAGUACAUCUCCAAAUUCUUUAGGAUAGCUAGAUACUGAGUUCACCUUGGCACUAGCCAGAUAAAAAGAUACAUAUGUCCCUGUUCCUUGGUGGAAGCAAAGAACAUGACCUCUUAGUAUUUCAACAAUUCAAUGGGCAUGAUGACAUGCCUGUAAUCAGAGUUUGGAAAGCCAAAGCAGGAGGAUUAUGAGUUCCAGGCCAUCCUAGGUAAGUUAACGAGACUGUAUCUCAAAAGGCAAAGCAAAGCAAACUCACAGUAUAAGCAGAAUAGAAGAUGUAAUUAAAAGAUGAACAGUAAAGAAGAAAACUUCCAGCCUUAAGCAAAUUAAUAGGAUACUUAUAGGGAUUAUGGGUAUGUAAUAAAACAAUACAUUAUGAGGAAUUUGAAAAAAUCAUCUUUUAGGUUAUGAUAUCAUAGGGCUUUCCUCCCAAAGACUGUGGACGAGACUUCAGGUGGCAGGAGUAGGCAGAUUUUCCUCUCAGGCCUGACCAACAUUGAGACUUUCAUAUCAUGAGUAGGGCAGAGAAAAAUUGGAGGAGAGUUCAGAGAAGGACUGCCCAUAUGCCCAAAGUGGAGGGAAAUAAAAACCAUAAUUCAGGAAAAAUAUCUUAGUAAGGUAGAUCAUAUUUAUGACAGGAAGUUAGGGGGAAAAUCUCUUGCUUGGAGAUGUCAGCUACAGAGGUAAAGGGUCAAACUUACUACGUAAAUUUGGAAUAUGAGGAAACCUUAGUUAAGAUUAGGAAAUCAAGUGACUGGUGGGUAAAUAGAUUAAUGAUUAGGAUAAGAAAAUCAAGAAACUACAAAGAACCCAGCUUACACACCAACCUUUAAUCUACCGUUUACUGUGAAACUGAAAGGCUAUAAACUGACAGCCACAGCACUGUGACUCCCAGGGGACUUAAUUUCAUCAGAGCAGGCAAAUGUGGAUUGCUGUUAAUGUGCUGACCUUAGGAAUAAGGUCAUUUCCCAUUGUCAAAUUGCAUACAUACUGUGUACUAAAACUGGAUCAUACAUGAAAUGUUGGGGCAGGAAGGAGCCUAGACUGAGUGGGCAGAUGAUCAGAGGCUGAAGAAGUAUGGAAUGCCCUGCUUUGGGCUCCAGGCCUCUAGGUUGGAAGCUUCCCUUCAGUGAGUGAGUGAGGGUGUACUGGUGCUGGGCAGAACUUCUUGUGGGGCUCCAUCAGGUUUGUGAAACUCUGACACCUUAGACAUACAAGCUUUAGAUGGUUACUUUAGUAAGAUACACAGGGCAAAGCAAAAUGUAUCACUGAGUACAAGGAACAAGGUAGACUGUGUAGAUGUGGCACCCCUGGGGUCAUGAGCCUGCUUCAUGGUAACAUGCCUGACACUGUGGGGUGCUAGCUCCUGUGAUGUUAGCCCUGAAUCUACUGUGACAUGAAGGUGGUAUGACUUUUGCCUUCAGAUACUGGUUCACUCAAAUUUGGUUCUUGGAAAUUCACAACCUUACACCUAAUGUUCUCCAGCUCCAAUGGCUGCCUCUCCUGGAUGCAUGGUUGGAAACCAUCACCAUGCAUAUCACCAAGUUUCCAUGAAGUUAUAUACUGUAUGGAAGCUGAUAUGUCUAGGGUGUAGGAAUAGUUUCAUUUUUUUUUUCCUGCGAUUAAAGAAUUAAAAGGCAGGAGCGUUUGAAAGUCAAAAUCAAGGUUUACUCAAAGUGAAAGGACCUGGAGUACCCUCUUGGGUUCUUGGUUUUAUUAAUGAGAGUUUUAUUGAAAUGGAUCAAAUGGAAGCUUGGGGACAAUUUCAGAAGAGAUUAAAAGAAAACUCCCAGAGCAAGCAAGCUGUAAAUCUCAGUAGUUGCCUAGAGGAGGAAAAAGAAAGCUAUGCUACACUGCAGCAGGCAGGCACAUGGUGGGCAGAGGUGCAUUAGGGAAAAAAAAGCACGGAAUUCCCAAGUGCUAGAAAAGGAAAACUUAGUUUCAUGCCUGUAAUUUAAAGGAGACAGAAAAAUGGGAGGUUGUACCUUUUGGAGUAAGGACCCAACUGAACCCCAAGACAGCUUAGAGGGACUGUGCUAGGGGCUGGGAUACUGGGAAGUAAAAGUACAGUAUCUCAUUAAAGGAAUUUAUUCUGCUCAUCUCUUUGGCCUAGCUUAAGGUGAGUCUGCCUUCCUGUGGUGCUCCCACCUUCCCAGUGUGCUCCCAUGGUCAGGUGAUUGACCUGCUAGACCGUAUUCACUCAUGUAUUGGGUAACUAAGAUGUUAGACCUCUGCCAAGACCAGAGAUUUUAUGCUCUUGACCAGAAGGAACAGUUUUCUCAGUAGAACUUUACUGCUGCUGUUAGAAUGGGUUUUGACUGUUCUGUCCCCAUCUCCUUUCUUCUUAUACAUCAAGGAACUCGUCUUUCUGGUGUAAAAAGACUCGCAGUUCUUGUGUGUUGUUUCAGUGUCUGUGUUGGUUGACGUUUGUUUCUACAGAGGUAGAUGUCAAAAGUCUUACUGGUAAAGUGCACUUGGAACUACAUGGCCUAACUGAAAAGAGGUACUAUAUAAAAAACAUUGACUAAAUCCAUCCAUGUGUAUCUGUCUUGAAAGCUAUCCUUGAAAGGGCAUCUCUCCUUGCCAGGUUUUGAGAGAUUCUGGUAGACUGAUUACAAAUCAAGGAGAAAAAAAUAUCAUUGGACUGGAGUGAUAGCUUAGUGGUUAAGAGUGCUUGCCCUGAAGUAAUGAGGACAAGAGUUUGGGUCCUAGUAUCCACUAUGCAAGCUAUGAGGGUCAGAAACAAGAUUGAUGGAUCUUGAUGGCUUCCAUCUUGGGCAACAGAAUUUGAGCUCCAGGUUCAUAAAGGGAUCCUGUUUCCAAGGAAACAAGACAGUGAUUCUGGACUCCGUGUUGUGUGUAUAGUUGUGUGAACCCCAACACUAAAGUGUGCAUACACAAAGGCAGGUACCAAAUAAAAGUCUUAAAAAUUUAUUACUAAGAUUUUUUGAAGGUACAAGUUACAAUUCUGGAACCACUUGUACUUGGCCGAGAAUUUGUUUUCUUUGAUCUCACUGCUUUUCCCAGCAGGGAGCCACAGUAGUUAGGAGAGCUAACAAAUGACCUUCCAUCUUGUGAGGGGAAAAAAAAUGAAGUUUAAAGUUUCUUUGUCUUCUCAUUAUUUUCCCUUUUGAGAUCAGUCAGUAAACUGUGCAAUGAGUUGUGUUUCCUGACUUCUAAGUGGAGUUUGGGUUGUUUUGAUUACAGUCCUGUUUCUCUCCUGCUUAGCUUUGGUAUGUUAAUUUUAGUCGAUAGCCUUUGAAUGAGCAGGGGACCUCGGCUUUCUUACGUUUUCCUUCAAAUUUCCACUACAUCCUGUUUCAUGUGUGGUUAAAUCAGCUGAUGAGUCACCUGAUGUUUUGCUUCUUCAAACGACAAAAAUAGAGGCUCAGAAUAACUACACAGAAGUAUCUCUCAUGGUUUCCAAAUACAUUGCUCAAAACCAUGCUUUUUGAUGCUCCAAAUGCUUUUUAUAAAAGAGCCUUGUUGCAGGGCUUGUGUGGGAAGGCAGAAGAAACCACUGGGUUUGCACAGAUAAGUCACCUCGCCCUCUCAGGUCCUACCAGAGACAGCAUUAUAUUGGUUAUAACAGUGUGGGCAGCACUGAGAACAAGAGGACCCCUCUCCUGAUCCUGGGCAGGUUUCAUGCUAAGUUUGGCAGGUACCUCUCUUGCAAUACCCUAGGCCUGACAUCUGCUUGAUUCUCACAGACCAGCACAUAAUGGUCCUCUGUUUAAAGCUUUACUGAAGCAGGAAAGAAAAAAAAAAAAAAAAAAAAAAAAAAACAGUACAAAAACCCAUUUUUCAAGGUAACACAAUUUAAUGCCAAGAGGUCAGAUGAUGUGGUGAUGCACCCCUUUAAUCCCGGCAUUCAGGAAGCAGAGGCAGGAGAAGCUCUGAGUACGAGGUCAGCCUGGUCUACAUAUGAGUUCCAGGACAGCCAGGUCUAUGUAGAGACCUUGUCUCAAAAACAAGCAAAAAACCAAACCAACUCUAAAAAUAAGUAAUUACAAGAAUAUUUGUAUUUUCUAUUUUGUAACACAUAUCUCACUCUCAGUUUGGGGAGAAAGUUGCUGAAUCUAGAAGAGAGUUCUAUCCUAUUUCAGAAGAAAACAAUAGGAGGUUGGGAGAGCUGGGAACUACAAGUGUAGCUCAGUGGAGGGGUGGCGGUGUGGCCCGGAGUUUCAUCUCCAGAACAGGCAUCCACACACGCACACUAAGUGAGUGGUUCAAUUCUUACUUUAAACAUAAAAUGGAGUACUCUUUUCCAUGAUUGAAGUGUGUAAUUGUCUGAAGCCUGUCACAUUCAGGAGGGGGCUGCAUUGGAGCUUACAGUGCCAAAACUACUGCCGUCCAAAUGUACUCCUGGUACAUCUUAAACCAACACUGUGCUUUAUUUCUGAGGCCCUCCACGAACAUUUCCAAAUGAAACUAUCAGCAGAUGCCAAAAAUCAGAUGGCCCCAAAUGGGAGAGGAGGACUUUUGAUGCAAGAGAACCCCACAUAGGCAGCAAGGGGUGACUGACCGACCGCCUUUUACCCACAGAUGCAAACAAGUGGCCUCUCCAGUGACCGAGUCCUCGGUGGUGGUGAGUUUCCUGCCAGCCACAAGCCUCUCAACACUCCCAGCCUGCAGUGGUAGGCUUUGUCCUCUCAUGACUCACAGCAGUCCUGCUUACUGAGUUCCUGGUGGGUGCCUUAGAGGUGUCCUGUAUGCCAGGACCCAGUAAACAAGGGCAGAGCAAAUGGCUUGUGUGCACUUAGAAUGACCCCCUGUGGCCCCUCAGAAAAACAGUCCUCCCUGCUUCUUCAGAGAAAACCCUCACUCUAGAAAGGCUUCAUUUGGGCAGUCUCAACUGACUUGCCAAUGAAAACCUUCCUCCUCAUGACCUUGGGAGUUUAGGUUGUAAUAGUCUAUAGUUGUUUGACCUUCAGAAAAGUCAUACCUGGUCUUCCCGAAGUCCUUGACUGGAGGAUUUCACAGGCAUGGCCCUUAUCUGUUUGUCAGCUGAGCAAAGUAAUUUAAAUCACCAUCAGGCUGAUGAAGUAGGAAGACUGCCCAACGCCUCUGCAAAGCAGAGAAAGUGACCCCUGCCCAAGUCCAGGCGAUGGAGUCCUUGGUUUGAACCUAACAUUAUGACAACUUAGAGUUCUGCCUCAGGAUGUCAAGUGACCAAAUAGGCCCAAAGAAGGUAGGUAGUGUGUGGAGAAGCCUGCCCUGCAAAGUCUGAACAAACCCUGCGGAACGGCAGCUCUACUGUCAAGGCCUGGGCCUGGCCCUACAUCCUAGGUUCUCAGGAACUCUACUACAGCUUCACUCAUCUUGAUCAGCACACAGUGAAGUAGUUAUACUUCUGCUGGUGACAUGGCUCCGUUGGGCAGCAAGAUAAACUGGAAAUGUGCAUUCUCUGCUCCUUACCUGGUACCGGGAAGAAGGAGAAGAUACGAAGAGGAAUGACACAGAGUUCUGCAAAGGCGAAGUCCACUCCAAUGAUGUCUAUCAAAAUCUUCUCAGAGACGUUGGGGGUCCAGAACAUUACAAAACAGAGCUGGAGGAUGGGAGAAGACAACAGUGAGCAACGUUGUGAGGAAAAAGCAUAAAAAAGUGAAAUGACAAUGUCAGGUA